Long non-coding RNA from Pan troglodytes (chimpanzee), 297 nucleotides. RefSeq lists it as uncharacterized. The transcript has 2 exons. NCBI's taxonomy places the organism in Eukaryota, Metazoa, Chordata, Mammalia, Primates, Hominidae. The record is from RefSeq and is a predicted model, not a curated record.
GUCGGCUACUAAGGACAUGGAGGGCUGAAUACAGUAAAUUCUGAUUUUCAGGUUGAGAAAAUCCACUCCUAAGGAAGUCAAGUGCCUUGGUGACUGUCAAGUAAAAGCAAGUAUAUACUCAGUUCUCUCCACACUUCCCACAUACUUACCAAGCAAAAAGUCCAUGAAAAAUCUGCAGCAGCCUCUGAUAGCAGGAAGACAUUAUGUGGUACUCCUGAACUUUCACUGCUGGUCCAUCAACUACACCGUGAUUCUCAGCAGCUAAACACUAAAAAUAAAAAUGAUUUUAGGACAGUU